Molecule: transfer RNA, 67 nt
Filed under: Marmota monax (woodchuck)
Lineage: Eukaryota; Metazoa; Chordata; Mammalia; Rodentia; Sciuridae
Description: tRNA.Ala
Source: RNAcentral
GGUUAUAGCUCAGUGGUAGAGCACUUGCCUAGCAUGUGUGAGCCACUGGGUUUGAUUCUCAGCACCA